GAUGAAGAACGUAGCGAAAUGCGAUAAGUAAUGUGAAUUGCAGAAUUCAGUGAAUCAUCGAAUCUUUGAACGCACAUUGCGCCCCUUGGUAUUCCGGAGGGCAUGCCUGUCCGAGCGUCAUUGCUGCCCUCCAGCCCGGCUGGUGUGUUGGGCCCCGUCCCCCUUCCCGGGGGGACGGGCCCGAAAGGCAGCGGCGGCACCGCGUCCGGUCCUCGAGCGUAUGGGGCUUUGUCACCCGCUCUUGUAGGCCCGGCCGGCGCCAGCCGACCCCCUCAAUCUAUUUUUCAGGUUGACCUCGGAUCAGGUAGGGAUACCCGCUGAACUUAAGCAUAUCAAUAAGCGGAGGA
RNAcentral lists this unclassified non-coding RNA (347 nucleotides) under soil metagenome. Its description in RNAcentral is "partial contains 5.8S ribosomal RNA, internal transcribed spacer 2, and large subunit ribosomal RNA". The stretch from base 1 to 120 matches the Rfam family "5.8S ribosomal RNA", at positions 35 to 154 of the family's 154-position model. The record is from RNAcentral.